This 357-nucleotide ribosomal RNA is filed under the name uncultured bacterium. Its description in RNAcentral is "bacterial SSU rRNA". It matches the Rfam family "Bacterial small subunit ribosomal RNA", at positions 28 to 372 of the family's 1533-position model. The record is from RNAcentral.
GAUGAACGCUAGCGACAGGCUUAACACAUGCAAGUCGAGGGGCAGCGGAGAGGAAAGCUUGCUUUUCUCUGCCGGCGACCGGCGCACGGGUGAGUAACACGUAUGCAACCUACCCCUGGCAGGGGGAUAACCCGGAGAAAUCCGGACUAAUACCGCGUAACACCGCGGGGAGACAUCUCCCGGCGGUCAAAGGAAGCGAUUCCGGCCAGGGAUGGGCAUGCGGCGCAUUAGGCAGUUGGCGGGUAACGGCCCACCAAACCGACGAUGCGUAGGGGUUCUGAGAGGAAGGUCCCCCANACUGGUACUGAGACACGGACCAGACUCCUACGGGAGGCAGCAGUGAGGAUAUUGGUCAAU